UGCCACCUAAAAAGAUUUAGUAAUUUACUGGUUAAUUACUUAUGUUCAGUGUAAGAGGUGGGUGAUCAAUUAGACUGUUGUUGUUACACUUAACCUUUCAAGAUACGAUGAUAAUAACAUUGUUCAACAAAGGCUUAAAACAAAAGGAAAUCAGCUGUGUACUCAAUUCAUAUGGGCAUAAAAUAAGUGAGAGGCAUCUGAGACGAGUUUUAAAACUUCUAGGGUUGAAGCGAAGAUGCCCCCAACGACCUUUUACUGAAAUCCACAAAGCAGUGGAGAGUGAGAUGAAACAGUGGUCUCCUGAACAAGGAAUCAGGGCAAUGGUAAAGCGGGUAAGGGAUGUCAGAGGAGUGCGGCCUUGUUACAGAGACGAUGUUGCUAAUAUAAUGAGGGAUAUGGAUGCAA
Long non-coding RNA from Pelmatolapia mariae (spotted tilapia), 405 nucleotides. RefSeq lists it as uncharacterized. Lineage: Eukaryota; Metazoa; Chordata; Actinopteri; Cichliformes; Cichlidae. The transcript is spliced from 4 exons. The record is from RefSeq and is a predicted model, not a curated record.